RNAcentral lists this ribosomal RNA (892 nucleotides) under uncultured bacterium. Its description in RNAcentral is "bacterial SSU rRNA". It matches the Rfam family "Bacterial small subunit ribosomal RNA", at positions 505 to 1397 of the family's 1533-position model. The record is from RNAcentral.
GUGCCAGCCGCCGCGGUAAUACGUAGGUGGCAAGCGUUGUCCGGAUUUAUUGGGCGUAAAGCGAGCGCAGGCGGUUUUUUAAGUCUGAUGUGAAAGCCUUCGGCUCAACCGAAGAAGUGCAUCGGAAACUGGGAAACUUGAGUGCAGAAGAGGACAGUGGAACUCCAUGUGUAGCGGUGAAAUGCGUAGAUAUAUGGAAGAACACCAGUGGCGAAGGCGGCUGUCUGGUCUGUAACUGACGCUGAGGCUCGAAAGUAUGGGUAGCAAACAGGAUUAGAUACCCUGGUAGUCCAUACCGUAAACGAUGAAUGCUAAGUGUUGGAGGGUUUCCGCCCUUCAGUGCUGCAGCUAACGCAUUAAGCAUUCCGCCUGGGGAGUACGGCCGCAAGGCUGAAACUCAAAGGAAUUGACGGGGGCCCGCACAAGCGGUGGAGCAUGUGGUUUAAUUCGAAGCUACGCGAAGAACCUUACCAGGUCUUGACAUACUAUGCAAAUCUAAGAGAUUAGACGUUCCCUUCGGGGACAUGGAUACAGGUGGUGCAUGGUUGUCGUCAGCUCGUGUCGUGAGAUGUUGGGUUAAGUCCCGCAACGAGCGCAACCCUUAUUAUCAGUUGCCAGCACUAAGUUGGGCACUCUGGUGAGACUGCCGGUGACAAACCGGAGGAAGGUGGGGAUGACGUCAAAUCAUCAUGCCCCUUAUGACCUGGGCUACACACGUGCUACAAUGGAUGGUACAACGAGUUGCGAACUCGCGAGAGUAAGCUAAUCUCUUAAAGCCAUUCUCAGUUCGGAUUGUAGGCUGCAACUCGCCUACAUGAAGUCGGAAUCGCUAGUAAUCGCGGAUCAGCAUGCCGCGGUGAAUACGUUCCCGGGCCUUGUACACACCGCCCGU